This 253-nucleotide ribosomal RNA is filed under the name uncultured bacterium. RNAcentral describes it as "partial 16S ribosomal RNA". It matches the Rfam family "Bacterial small subunit ribosomal RNA", at positions 524 to 776 of the family's 1533-position model. The record is from RNAcentral.
UACGGAGGGGGCGAGCGUUAUUCGGAAUUAUUGGGCGUAAAGGGCGCGUAGGCGGCUGGGCAAGUCAAAGGUGAAAUCCCUCGGCUCAACUGAGGAACUGCCUUUGAAACUGCCUGGCUUGAGGCCGGGAGGGGGUAGCGGAAUUCCCAGUGUAGCGGUGAAAUGCGUAGAUAUUGGGAGGAACACCAGUGGCGAAGGCGGCUACCUGGACCGGUUCUGACGCUGAUGCGCGAAAGCGUGGGUAGCAAACAGG